AGCAGCCGCGGUAAUUCCAGCUCCAAUAGCGUAUAUUAAAGUUGUUGCAGUUAAAAAGCUCGUAGUUGAAUUUCGGGAUCAAUAUGUCGGUCGUGCCUUCGGUACGUACUGGUAUCAUUGGUCUCUCCUUUCUGACGAACCAUGAUGUCAUUAAUUUGGUGUUAUGGGGAGUUAGGACUGUUACUUUGAAAAAAUUAGAGUGUUUAAAGCAGGCUUUAGCUUGAAUACAUUAGCAUGGAAUAAUGAAAUAGGACGUUCGAACCUAUUUUGUUGGUUUCUAGGAUCAACGUAAUGAUUAAUAGGGAUAGUUGGGGGCAUUAGUAUUCAAUUGUCAGAGGUGAAAUUCUUGGAUUUAUUGAAGACUAACUACUGCGAAAGCAUUUGCCAAGGAUGUUUUCAUUAAUCAAGAACGAAAGUUAGGGGAUCGAAGACGAUCAGAUACCGUCGUAGUCUUAACCAUAA
RNAcentral lists this ribosomal RNA (462 nucleotides) under uncultured Glomus. RNAcentral's name for it is "SSU rRNA". It matches the Rfam family "Eukaryotic small subunit ribosomal RNA", at positions 569 to 1035 of the family's 1831-position model. Lineage: Eukaryota; Fungi; Glomeromycota; Glomeromycetes; Glomerales; Glomeraceae. The record is from RNAcentral.